UUUUAUUUUUUAUUUUGAGACAGGGUCUCACUAUGUUGCUUACAUCCUCGCUAAGUUGCUGAGGCUGGCCUCGAACUUGCGAUCCUCCUGCCUCAGCCCUCCUGAGCGACUGGGAUUACAUUUUGCCUUUUUUAUUUGUCAAGACUUUGGAUUUGACCAGUCAAGGGAAACUCCAUCCACAAACCUGUACAUGUUCCAUUGUUCCAAGAAGGGAUUCUUGCUUUUUCUCUCCGGGUGUGGCAUUUACUUUGAGGAACUAGGCUUUCCUGGCUUUGAUGACAUUUCCAGCUGUGCACAUCCUCUCCCGUUACCUUCCCACGGGCUGACCUGACCUUCACGGUGUCCAAGCCCUUCCUCAUCUGUUUUGGUUUGGGGUUACAAAUGUCUCUUCAGUUCUUUGAAGAUAGAAUUUUGUUCCUGUUUCUUAGUCUCUUUCUUACAUUUGGGUGAUUUCUCAGAGAAAAGGGAAAUUGCCCCCUUCAGACCACAGUUCAAAACCAGAAGGCUUACCCUCAGAGAGUCUUUUGCAUACAAUAUUAUUUUUAGUUUCAAUUCUGCAUCACAUGUAAUCUUUCAAGAGUCAUUUUAAAUCAUGAUGAGGGAACUAAAUCAAAGUUUAAAUUCAACCUUUUCUGGUGCUACCAAUGCAAAUAACUCCAUUGAAGUAACACUCCAGCCCUCCGAUUCUGUCGCUCAUGGCUAAACACGCAUAUUACCUGCAGUGAGAGACAACCACAUCGGGGUACACGUCCCUGCCUGGCAACGGAUAAGCAUCCUUUGACAUAAAUUUAUAAUGCCUCCCCAGAGCAGAAAGGUAAGCAUGGGAAAAAAUGGAGUAUGGCAUUUUGCCCUGCUAUUGGUUCCAAUGUGGUCUGUGCCCACCAAACUCAUGUUCAGGCUUGGUCCCCAGGGUGCUGAUGUUGAGAGGUAGUGCCUUUAAGAAGAUGAAUGCUUUUUUUUCCCAGGAGUGAGUGAGGUCUACUGGAGCACCUUCUUGCUCUCUUGGGACUGGCUACAGUGAAUUUGGCUUCCUCUGCCUGCUCUUUCACUUCCUUUUUUUUGCCAUGUGACCUCCCUCACGUAUUGCUCCAUUUCCACGCAUGCUGCUCACCACUCUUGUCGGAAUUCCCACCAGGUGAGGCCACCCACCAUGUUGUAAUGUAGCUCACACUUUCAGAGGCUCAAAGUCCAAGAUCAUCUCAUCCCGCCUGCUGAGCCUCUAAAAUGGUGAGCUAGGUAAACCUCUUUAUUUCAUAAAAGUGCCUGGCCUAAGGUAUUUUGUUAGAGCAACACAAAAUAAGACAGUUCUUCUAUGGGUUCUGAAAUUUCAGCCUUUGCGAGAGUUGAUGCUGUUUAGCAGAAGGACCUCCCUGGCCUGUUCCGCUACCCAGUCUUCAAGCCAAACCAGAAGAAUCGAACAGCCAAUCGUCCAACUGUGGAGGACCAUAGCAUCCUGUGGCAUGUGACACUUUGUUUUCUGUUUAAUUGAAUGCCAAUUCUUUUAAUUUGGACAUGAAGCCUUCCCCCAGUGUUCUGGCACGCCCAUGGCCUUCCCACUGUCUAGAGAACAUUGCUGAAAUGCAAAGCCCUCCACCCCAAGAAGCCAAAACUCAUUGGAAGGAACUGACCAGUCGAAUUCCUUUCCUUGUGUGAUUUGGUGGCAUCCUCUCCAUCCUCCCUUGCUCCCUGGGACUGGUGGGAGCUGUUUGGCAGGUAUCCCAUAGCUGUGCCAGGGCUCAUUCUCUCUCUACCCGGAACUCUUUUCUUCCCUGAGAAGAAAUCCUGUUUACCUUCCCAAGCCCCACACAGCCUUUCCUGAUUCCUUCUUAUAUGAACUUGCUUUCUACCUUAGGGUCCUAGAAAAAUUCAUUCUAAAUUAGAAGUGAAAUUAAUAACUUAGUAAUAUCAAGAAUAACUCAUUCUGAAUAACGAGAACGGAUACUUUCCCAAACUCAUUGUUAAGAAAAAUAUUUUCAGCCAGGAGCUUCCGACCCGUGGAGGAAAGUUGUUUCCUAAUUUGGAAGACUCCUUCUUGGAUUAGAAACCACUUUCUCACUUUGGAGAAACCACCAGCACAAGUUUGUUUUGUGUUGCAGGAGGGGUCGAGGGCGAAUUUCAAAAACAUUCUGCAGAGCAAAAGAAGCCAGACACAAACGAGUCUAUUUAUAUGAGAUCCUGGAAGAGUCAAAACGAAUCUAUAGUGACAAAAAGCAGAUUGGCCGUGGCCCGGGGCCAGGGUUGGGGAGACGACUGGCUGCAGAGGCUGGGGGACCUUUUGGGGGGAAUGGAAAUGUUCUCUGUCAUGGUUGUGACGGUGGUUACACCGAUGUCUAUUUUUGUCAAAACACAGCAGAUGUAAUUUAUAUGUAAAUUACGCUUCAGUAAAAUCGAUCUAAAAGUGCAAUCUGGGGCCAGGAUCUGAAUGGACAGGAAU
RNAcentral lists this long non-coding RNA (2434 nucleotides) under Marmota monax (woodchuck). The record is from RNAcentral. Lineage: Eukaryota; Metazoa; Chordata; Mammalia; Rodentia; Sciuridae.